RNAcentral lists this long non-coding RNA (210 nucleotides) under Elaeis guineensis (African oil palm). RNAcentral describes it as "long non-coding RNA (EGUI_LNC030204)". The record is from RNAcentral. Lineage: Eukaryota; Viridiplantae; Streptophyta; Magnoliopsida; Arecales; Arecaceae.
UCUCGCUCGAUUUACGGUAUUCUGGGCACAUCGUCUCUAUACAAUUAGCAGUCAAAUUAGUGGUAACAAACUGAAUUUAAAAAUAAAUAAUUUAAUUAUUAAAUUCUAAAAAAAGUUUGGAUGUGUAACUUGAUAUGCCGGAUCCUCGUAAUGCCGGCAUACGAAAGCCCAAUCAUCCAUAGUGAUGCUGUCAUAUGGCCGCUGUCGCAC